AUGCCGAUGGCGAGGAGAUCUUCGGGGCGCGGCGGCGGCGGGCCGGGGGUGGAGGUCACGAUGGUGAUGGCGCUGGCGGCGGCGGAAGGGGAAGACAACGUUAUCAUCAUCAGCCGCCCCGACCAAGCCGGCCUCGGCUGUAACCUCUACAGCAACAUCUCGAGUUCGAGCUUCGCAUCUCCGGCAGCGGUGAUCCCCUCCACAUCCUGUCCGGAAAUUACUUAA
Molecule: ribosomal RNA, 225 nt
Filed under: Triticum aestivum (bread wheat)
Lineage: Eukaryota; Viridiplantae; Streptophyta; Magnoliopsida; Poales; Poaceae
Description: partial small subunit ribosomal RNA
Source: RNAcentral